Molecule: ribosomal RNA, 437 nt
Filed under: uncultured Lactobacillus sp.
Lineage: Bacteria; Bacillati; Bacillota; Bacilli; Lactobacillales; Lactobacillaceae
Description: bacterial SSU rRNA
Rfam family: Bacterial small subunit ribosomal RNA
Source: RNAcentral
UAACGCGAAGAACCUUACCAGGUCUUGACAUCUUGCGCCAACCCUAGAGAUAGGGCGUUUCCUUCGGGAACGCAAUGACAGGUGGUGCAUGGUCGUCGUCAGCUCGUGUCGUGAGAUGUUGGGUUAAGUCCCGCAACGAGCGCAACCCUUGUUACUAGUUGCCAGCAUUAAGUUGGGCACUCUAGUGAGACUGCCGGUGACAAACCGGAGGAAGGUGGGGACGACGUCAGAUCAUCAUGCCCCUUAUGACCUGGGCUACACACGUGCUACAAUGGACGGUACAACGAGUCGCGAACUCGCGAGGGCAAGCAAAUCUCUUAAAACCGUUCUCAGUUCGGACUGCAGGCUGCAACUCGCCUGCACGAAGUCGGAAUCGCUAGUAAUCGCGGAUCAGCAUGCCGCGGUGAAUACGUUCCCGGGUCUUGUACACACCGAGA